Long non-coding RNA from Cicer arietinum (chickpea), 407 nucleotides. RefSeq lists it as uncharacterized. The record is from RefSeq and is a predicted model, not a curated record. NCBI's taxonomy places the organism in Eukaryota, Viridiplantae, Streptophyta, Magnoliopsida, Fabales, Fabaceae.
ACAUUUCACUUUCUACGGCGGUCCACUUUCACAGGCUCCUCUCAUCAGUUUCUCUCUCACUUCCACUUCAACCGUUCACACUUCCGUUUCUCUCCCACACUCAGUCUCACUAUCAUCUUCAACGAUUCACUUGUGGCUUUCUCUAUCGCUCAACCCUAAAAGGAGCAAGUAUCUUGAGUCUUCAACGAUUCAGAUUUACCGCCUUAUAAGUCUUGUUAAAAGAAAACAAAGACUGGCCAGCAAAGAUGACAAGAGUGGACAUUGAUAUUAUUUGUACUGAUUUUUUAUAAGGACAUUUGGACAUAUAGUUUAAGAUCUUUAGAUUUUAUAAACAUGAAUAUAUAAUGUAUAUUAAGUUUACAUUUUAAUGUUUAGAAUUAUAAAUAUGUUUGCAUUUCAAUUAUAAA